AGAACGGACCCGUAAGGUUAGUGGUGUGGUUGCAGUCCAUUGGGCAUAGCCGGCGCCAAACCGCCGGAGUCUAUGGCCUGAUCGGGUUGUUGGUUACACCCAUUUCCACUUUCUGAUUACUUAUCUUAUAUCUUAUGUGAUUGUGGUAUAGUCUGAUGGAUCAAACACUAUGGUACUGAACCAUGGCCUUGGCCGGUUCAGAAAUAAAGCCCUUGGCCUUGGCUGGGCUGAUCAUGAUCAAGAUCUAUAUGGUCUGGAUCGAUUCUUUGGAAUCUGAUUAUGGGAAUCUCUUAGUUGAGAAUUAUCAUGAGUUUUAGUGAAUUUUAUUUAGUUUUUAGAUCACUUUUGAAAUCGGCCAGAUUUGGGUCUAAAGAAAAAUUAAAUGAUUAGUUAUGGCUCCAGCCAUGGAAAGAUGUGUGGUGAUUGGGUCAUUGUUGAUAAGUGUGAAGUAUUGAUAGUCUAUUGUGCAACUUGUGAACUUAUGAUUGAUUAAGUAUGUAAUCUAGUAGAAUGAACGAUUGAAUGCUGUAUGGACCUUAUUUAUUAUCUAUGAAAGAGACGAUUUGCCUUUACUUGAAUCUGAUUGUCUAAGUAUGAAAUGAUAAACCCCAACUCUGAUAAAUUAUAAAGAAAAAUAUUCACUUGAAUUGAGAAGUAAAGGAAUCGAACUAGAUAGAAAUGGUUAGGUAAGCCGCGGUCUGGUUGGAUUGAGGAAUCCAGGAUCGGGUCUUACA
Molecule: long non-coding RNA, 734 nt
Filed under: Brassica napus (rape)
Lineage: Eukaryota; Viridiplantae; Streptophyta; Magnoliopsida; Brassicales; Brassicaceae
Description: long non-coding RNA (BNAP_LNC018772)
Source: RNAcentral